UGGGGAAUAUUGCACAAUGGGCGCAAGCCUGAUGCAGCCAUGCCGCGUGUGUGAAGAAGGCCUUCGGGUUGUAAAGCACUUUCAGCGGGGAGGAAGGCGGUGAGGUUAAUAACCUCAUCGAUUGACGUUACCGACAGAAGAAGCACCGGCUAACUCCGUGCCAGCAGCCGCGGUAAUACGGAGGGUGCAAGCGUUAAUCGGAAUUACUGGGCGUAAAGCGCACGCAGGCGGUUGAUUGAGUCAGAUGUGAAAUCCCCGGGCUUAACCCGGGAAUUGCAUCUGAUAAUGGUCAGCUAGAGUCUUGUAGAGGGGGGUAGAAUUCCAUGUGUAGCGGUGAAAUGCGUAGAGAUGUGGAGGAAUACCGGUGGCGAAGGCGGCCCCCUGGACAAAGACUGACGCUCAGGUGCGAAAGCGUGGGGAGCAAACAGG
This 429-nucleotide ribosomal RNA is filed under the name Chloroflexota bacterium. RNAcentral's name for it is "Chloroflexi bacterium partial 16S ribosomal RNA". It matches the Rfam family "Bacterial small subunit ribosomal RNA", at positions 355 to 776 of the family's 1533-position model. Lineage: Bacteria; Bacillati; Chloroflexota. The record is from RNAcentral.